RNAcentral lists this ribosomal RNA (253 nucleotides) under uncultured bacterium. RNAcentral's name for it is "partial 16S ribosomal RNA". It matches the Rfam family "Bacterial small subunit ribosomal RNA", at positions 524 to 776 of the family's 1533-position model. The record is from RNAcentral.
UACGUAGGUGGCAAGCGUUGUCCGGAUUUAUUGGGCGUAAAGAGCUCGUAGGCGGCUUGUCGCGUCGAAUGUGAAAUCUCAGGGCUCAACUCUGACAUUGCAUUCGAUACGGGCAGGCUAGAGUUCGGUAGGGGAGACUGGAAUUCCUGGUGUAGCGGUGAAAUGCGCAGAUAUCAGGAGGAACACCGGUGGCGAAGGCGGUUCUCUGGGCAUUACCUGACGCUGAGGAGCGAAAGCGUGGGGAGCGAACAGG